Molecule: ribosomal RNA, 378 nt
Filed under: Mycobacterium tuberculosis
Lineage: Bacteria; Bacillati; Actinomycetota; Actinomycetes; Mycobacteriales; Mycobacteriaceae
Description: bacterial SSU rRNA
Rfam family: Bacterial small subunit ribosomal RNA
Source: RNAcentral
UCUCUCGGAUUGACGGUAGGUGGAGAAGAAGCACCGGCCAACUACGUGCCAGCAGCCGCGGUAAUACGUAGGGUGCGAGCGUUGUCCGGAAUUACUGGGCGUAAAGAGCUCGUAGGUGGUUUGUCGCGUUGUUCGUGAAAUCUAACGGCUUAACUGUGAGCGUGCGGGCGAUACGGGCAGACUAGAGUACUGCAGGGGAGACUGGAAUUCCUGGUGUAGCGGUGGAAUGCGCAGAUAUCAGGAGGAACACCGGUGGCGAAGGCGGGUCUCUGGGCAGUAACUGACGCUGAGGAGCGAAAGCGUGGGGAGCGAACAGGAUUAGAUACCCUGGUAGUCCACGCCGUAAACGGUGGGUACUAGGUGUGGGUUUCCUUCCUU